Molecule: ribosomal RNA, 802 nt
Filed under: uncultured fungus
Lineage: Eukaryota; Fungi
Description: eukaryotic LSU rRNA
Rfam family: 5.8S ribosomal RNA (bases 193-346)
Source: RNAcentral
GUGAGGGCUGUCGCUGACUCAAAGUCGUGCACGCCCGAGUGUGUCCUCUCACAUAAUAAUCCAUMUCACCCUUUGUGCAUCGCCGCGUGAGCACCCUUUGGGAUCAUCUCGGAGGGGGCUCGCGUUUUCACACAAACCCCCCUUUUAAAAGUGUAGAAUGACCUCAUUUAUGCGCUAACACGCAAUCAAUACAACUUUCAACAACGGAUCUCUUGGCUCUCGCAUCGAUGAAGAACGCAGCGAAAUGCGAUACGUAAUGUGAAUUGCAGAAUUCAGUGAAUCAUCGAAUCUUUGAACGCACCUUGCGCCCCUUGGUAUUCCGAGGGGCACACCCGUUUGAGUGUCGUGAAAACCUCAACCUCCUUGGUUUCUUCUGGAGACCAAAGGCAGGCUUGGACUUUGGAGGCCCUUGCUGGAACCUCUCUCUUUUGAAGGCCAGCUCCUCUUAAACGAAUUAGCAGGGUCCUCUUUGCCGAUCCUCGACGUGUGAUAAGAUGUUUCCAUGUCUUGGUUUCUGGCUCUGUCACUUUUGGGACCCGCUUCUAACCGUCUUGACCUUGCAUCGAGACAAUGUUCGAGCAUGUCUCCCUUCUCGGGAAGCUCCCUCGACCCCACGAACCCUUGACCUCAAAUCGGGUGAGACUACCCGCUGAACUUAAGCAUAUCAAUAAGCGGAGGAAAAGAAACUAACAAGGAUUCCCCUAGUAACUGCGAGUGAAGCGGGAAAAGCUCAAAUUUAAAAUCUGGCGGUCUUUGGCCGUCCGAGUUGUAAUUUAGAGAAGCGUCUUCCGCGCUGGACCGU